This 192-nucleotide ribosomal RNA is filed under the name uncultured bacterium. RNAcentral's name for it is "partial 16S ribosomal RNA". It matches the Rfam family "Bacterial small subunit ribosomal RNA", at positions 1309 to 1500 of the family's 1533-position model. The record is from RNAcentral.
AACCCGCCUGCGUGAAGUUGGAAUUGCUAGUAAUCGCGGAUCAGCAUGCCGCGGUGAAUACGUUCCCGGGCCUUGUACACACCGCCCGUCACACCAUGGAAGUCGGUAAUGCCCGAAGUCAGUAGCCUAACCGCAAGGGGGGCGCUGCCGAAGGCAGGAUUGAUGACUGGGGUGAAGUCGUAACAAGGUAUC